This 373-nucleotide ribosomal RNA is filed under the name uncultured organism. RNAcentral's name for it is "partial 16S ribosomal RNA". It matches the Rfam family "Bacterial small subunit ribosomal RNA", at positions 527 to 896 of the family's 1533-position model. The record is from RNAcentral.
GUACUGUGCGAACGUUAUUCGGAAUCACUGGGCUUAAAGGGUGCGUAGGCGGGCUGGAUAAGUAGGGGUGUGAAAUCCCUCGGGCUCAACCGAGGAACUGCGCUCUAAACUGUCCGGCUUGAGUGAGAUAGGGGUGUGCGGAACUUCCAGUGGAGCGGUGAAAUGUGUUGAUAUUGGAAGGAACGCCGGUGGCGAAAGCGGCACACUGGGUCUCAACUGACGCUGAGGCACGAAAGCCAGGGUAGCGAACGGGAUUAGAUACCCCGGUAGUCCUGGCCGUAAACGAUGAGCACUAGUUGGGAGGGGUUUCGGCCUCUUCGAACGUAGCGAAAGCAUUAAGUGCUCCGCCUGGGGAGUAUGGUCGCAAAGGCUG